This 445-nucleotide ribosomal RNA is filed under the name uncultured bacterium. RNAcentral describes it as "bacterial SSU rRNA". It matches the Rfam family "Bacterial small subunit ribosomal RNA", at positions 28 to 518 of the family's 1533-position model. The record is from RNAcentral.
GAUGAACGCUGGCGGUGUGCCUAAUACAUGCAAGUCGAACGAAGUCUUCGGACUUAGUGGCGAACGGGUGAGUAACACGUUGGUACCUACCCUCUAGUGGGGAAUAACUGCCCGAAAGGGUGGCUAAUACCGCAUAAUACCGCAAGGUUAAAGCAGUAAUGCGCUAGAGGAGGGGCCUGCGUCUGAUUAGCUAGUUGGUUGGGUAAUGGCUGACCAAGGCUGUGAUCGGUAGCNGGUCUGAGAGGAUGAUCAGCCACACUGGGACUGAGACACGGCCCAGACUCCUACGGGAGGCAGCAGUGGGGAAUAUUGGACAAUGGGCGCAAGCCUGAUCCAGCAAUGCCGCGUGGAUGAAGAAGGUUUUCGAUUGUAAAGUCCUUUCGGCGGGGACGAUGAUGACGGUACCCGCAGAAGAAGCCCCGGCUAACUUCGUGCCAGCAGCCGC